This is a long non-coding RNA of Symsagittifera roscoffensis, 536 nucleotides long. RefSeq lists it as uncharacterized. The transcript is spliced from 3 exons. The record is from RefSeq and is a predicted model, not a curated record. NCBI's taxonomy places the organism in Eukaryota, Metazoa, Xenacoelomorpha, Acoela, Convolutidae.
ACUUCUGGCUCUUAAAUACCAGGAUUUCACUAUUUCAAAAACUAUUAUAUGAUGACUAAAUUAAUCAAUUUUGUGAUAACAGUUUUCUUCUUAAAGGAAAUUAAAUCACGAGUUUUUGAACAAAAAAAGAAUUCUACUGGCUUAUUUCAUGAUGAAAAUGAGUUUAUUGUGAAUGGUUUCAACGCACCUGUUGGACGAGAAUUUUUUGUCAGUUUAUAUUCUACAUAUUUGCAGAGUACUUGUGGAGGAGCUAUUGUGGCUCCUUUUUGGAUAAUUACAGCGGCACAUUGCGUUCUUAUUACCCCAGUUGAACACCUUUCUGUUGUGUCGGAUCUUAUAGUACAAUGGUCAAAUCCAUCAUAUGCGUCAUAUGGCUUCCGCGGGGUUCAAUACAAAUUCAUACCUGCCAGUUUUGAAGUGAACAAUGGAGAGUUCAAAAACGACAUUGCUCUGCUCAAAUUACUGCAACCUAUAACGACCCCAAAUCGAAUAUUGCCCAUUUGCAGCGACAGUGCACAUACCAUCCAUUUCGACAU